GUUUAGUUAGUUUAAGUAAAACGUAAAUUUUGUAAGUUUAAAAUUAAGAGAAUG
RNAcentral lists this transfer RNA (54 nucleotides) under Lycosa sp. Its description in RNAcentral is "tRNA-Thr". The record is from RNAcentral. Lineage: Eukaryota; Metazoa; Arthropoda; Arachnida; Araneae; Lycosidae.